RNAcentral lists this transfer RNA (72 nucleotides) under Klosneuvirus KNV1. RNAcentral describes it as "tRNA-Cys". The record is from RNAcentral. Lineage: Varidnaviria; Bamfordvirae; Nucleocytoviricota; Megaviricetes; Imitervirales; Mimiviridae.
AGGUUUCGACCGGACUCGAACCAGCAACCUAAGGCUCUGCAGGCCUCCGCUCUACCAUUGAGCUACAAAACC